This 1266-nucleotide ribosomal RNA is filed under the name Triticum aestivum (bread wheat). RNAcentral describes it as "partial small subunit ribosomal RNA". Lineage: Eukaryota; Viridiplantae; Streptophyta; Magnoliopsida; Poales; Poaceae. The record is from RNAcentral.
CUUACCUCUUGCAUUUUUGUUUCCACCGUGACAAUUUGGUCUGUUCCUAUCUCAGCAGAAUGGCUCGUGAAGAAGAAACGUAUUCGCAACGGAGUCUCCCAAGAACGACUGACUACGUUGACUGACAGAUUUACCGACGAUCAGAAGGGAGCUGCUGCUGACAUGAGUAUGCAGGCUCUGAUGAACGUCCGGUGCAUGAAUCUUGUCAACCCUGUAUGCGACUGGCUUGGUGAGAUUUACGACCCCGCCUCCAGGGAGUUUGUGAUUCUGGAACGUGGAAGACUACCGUUGAACGAGGAAUCCGUGUCCUGCACUUUGGGUGUGCCUCGUGGACAGAUGAAAUUCCCGUACGAGGUCAAUAACGAUAUCGAGCAAGCGCUGUUCCCCCGUUUGUUUCCUGGGUUGGAAUCCAUGCCGAACACGUCUGUACUGGCAAAACUGAAAGAUGUGAAGAACAUGAACUGGUGUAAGUUCACAGCCGACUUCCUGCAUGAUGCAUUCUCAAGCAAGAUGUACCAAAAGGGUUGUCGACUGCAUUUAAUGCUCAUGUACGUCGACUGUCUUGAUCUGUCCACCAUGGAUUUCACUGGGACAGGAGGCCCGCCGCCUACGCACAAGUUUGCUGCUUGUGCGUGGACUAUCAAUGCUGUCAAGGUUGUGCUUGCCGCAGACAGGGUAACUGAUACCAAAUAUGGAAAGCUGCAGCUGAUGGCCAAGCAUGCUAUAGACUACAGCGUGUUUGGGGGCCUCAAAACUUUGGAAAGUGGAUGGAUGUGCACUCAGCUCCGUCUUACCCUACUGACGAGGGCACCUGUUGAGCAUCUAAUUGGGCAGUUUACAUCUGGAAUGACCGGCUUGCUCGGGAAGUUGGUUGAGGGGUGGACGUCUCUUAGUGGCUCUGACAGCGACGCAGUUGUGAGGCAGUUCACUUCGUUUGUCCCAGAACGGACACAUCGGCCAACUGGUUGCCGUGGCCGGUACGACUACAACAGUUCCCAAGAGCUUGCUGACUCACAAGAUGAACUAGGUGGAGACGCUGGUAUCAGCAAGGAUGACGACGAUGACACAGAGAACGCGGAAGAGGAAAUCGAUGAUGAUGAACAUGCUGAAGUUUGUGCAGGUGCUAACAAGGGGAAGGAUGCACCAUAUGUCCCCCACCAGAGAAUGUCAAAGAACAUAUGGCUGCGAGAGGCGAGGGGGUGUUGCCAUCAAAGUGGGGGAGGGCUCCAGAGGAUGUUGGGCAGGGUUCUCCUGGCAAGAGGGUGA